GAUGAACGCUGGCGGCAUGCCUAACACAUGCAAGUCGAUCGGUAAGGCUCUUCGGAGUCCCCGCUAGGCGGACGGCUGAGUAACGCGUAGGAACACACACUGCCGUGCGGGAUAAGUCACCGAACGUCGUUCUAAUACAGCAUACGGCCUUCGGUUUAAAGCAUUUAUGCGCUGAAGGAGUGGCCUGCGUCAUAUUAGAUCGUUAGUAAGGUAAUGGCUCACCAAAUCGAGGAUGUGUAGUUGGUCUGAGAGGAUGGGCAGACAGACCGGCACUGAGACACAGUACAGACUCCUACGCGAGGCAGCAGUGCGUGAUAGAGCACAAUGAGCUGAGGCAUGAUGGAGCAAUGCCGCGUACACGAUGAAAGUCGUCGAGUUGUAAUCUGCUUGUAUAUAUGAAGAUUAUGACGGUAACUUAUGAGUAAGCGACGGCUAACUACGUG
This 443-nucleotide ribosomal RNA is filed under the name uncultured bacterium. RNAcentral's name for it is "partial 16S ribosomal RNA". It matches the Rfam family "Bacterial small subunit ribosomal RNA", at positions 28 to 507 of the family's 1533-position model. The record is from RNAcentral.